GACGAACGCUGGCGGCGUGCCUAAUACAUGCAAGUUGAACGCUUCUUUCUUAUCGAACUUCGGUUCACCAAGAAAGAAGAGUAGCGAACGGGUGAGUAACACGUGGGUAACCUGCCCAUCAGUGGGGGAUAACACCUGGAAACAGGUGCUAAUACCGCAUAAUACUUUUUCUCUCAUGAGUGAAAGUUGAAAGGCGCUUUUGCGUCACUAAUGGAUGGACCCGGGGUGCAUUAGCUAGUUGGUAGGGUAACGGCCUACCAAGGCAACGAUGCAUAGCCGACCUGAGAGGGGGAUCGGCAACACUGGGACUGAGACACGGCCCAGACUCCUACGGGAGGCAGCAGUAGGGAAUCUUCGGCAAUGGACGAAAGUCUGACCGAGCAACGCCGCGUGAGUGAAGAAGGUUUUCGGAUCGUAAAACUCUGUUGUUAGAGAAGAACAAGGAUGAGAAGAGAAUGUUCAUCCCUUGACGGUAUCCAACCAGAAAGCCACGGCUAACUACGUGCCAGCAGCCGCCGUAA
Molecule: ribosomal RNA, 521 nt
Filed under: uncultured bacterium
Lineage: Bacteria
Description: partial 16S ribosomal RNA
Rfam family: Bacterial small subunit ribosomal RNA
Source: RNAcentral